AUUGAACGCUGGCGGAAUGCUUUACACAUGCAAGUCGAACGGCAGCACGGGUGCUUGCACCUGGUGGCGAGUGGCGAACGGGUGAGUAAUACACCGGAACGUACCCAGUCGUGGGGGAUAACGUAGCGAAAGUCACGCUAAUACCGCAUACGUCCGGAGGGAGAAAGCGGGGGACCGUAAGGCCUCGCGCGAUUGGAGCGGCCGAUGGGGGAUUAGCUAGGUGGUGGGGUAAAGGCCUACCAAGGGGACUAUCCGUAGCGGGUCUGAGGGGACGGCCCGCCACACUGGAACUGAGACACGGUCCAGACUCCUACGGGAGGCAGCAGUGGGGAAUUUUGGACAAUGGGCGAAAGCCUGAUCCAGCCAUUCCGCGUGAGUGAAGAAGGCCUUCGGGUUGUAAAGCUCUUUCGGCAGGGAAGAAACGGCUUGGGAUAAUACCCCGGGCUAAUGACGGUACCUGAAGAAGAAGCACCGGCUAGCUACGUGCCAGCCGCCGCAGUAA
RNAcentral lists this ribosomal RNA (502 nucleotides) under uncultured bacterium. RNAcentral's name for it is "partial 16S ribosomal RNA". It matches the Rfam family "Bacterial small subunit ribosomal RNA", at positions 29 to 523 of the family's 1533-position model. The record is from RNAcentral.